AUACAAAUCAAACGAACAGGGUAAUAAAGAGUCGAAGAUUGAUAUUAAUUAU
Molecule: non-coding RNA, 52 nt
Filed under: Trypanosoma brucei brucei
Lineage: Eukaryota; Euglenozoa; Kinetoplastea; Trypanosomatida; Trypanosomatidae
Source: RNAcentral